AUUGAACGCUGGCGGCAUGCCUUACACAUGCAAGUCGAACGGCAGCACGGGAGCAGUCCUGGUGGCGAGUGGCGAACGGGUGAGUAAUAUAUCGGAACGUGCCCAGUCGUGGGGGAUAACGCAGCGAAAGCUGUGCUAAUACCGCAUACGAUCUAAGGAUGAAAGCGGGGGAUCGCAAGACCUCGCGCGAUUGGAGCGGCCGAUAUCAGAUUAGCUAGUUGGUGGGGUAAAGGCCCACCAAGGCGACGAUCUGUAGCUGGUCUGAGAGGACGACCAGCCACACUGGAACUGAGACACGGUCCAGACUCCUACGGGAGGCAGCAGUGGGGAAUUUUGGACAAUGGGCGCAAGCCUGAUUCAGCAAUGCCGCGUGCAGGAUGAAGGCCUUCGGGUUGUAAACUGCUUUUGUACGGAACGAAACGGCCCUUUCUAAUACAGGGGGCUAAUGACGGUACCGUAAGAAUAAGCACCGGCUAACUACGUGCCAGCAGCCGCAGUAA
This 500-nucleotide ribosomal RNA is filed under the name uncultured bacterium. RNAcentral describes it as "partial 16S ribosomal RNA". It matches the Rfam family "Bacterial small subunit ribosomal RNA", at positions 30 to 523 of the family's 1533-position model. The record is from RNAcentral.